This is a long non-coding RNA of Biomphalaria glabrata, 1805 nucleotides long. RefSeq lists it as uncharacterized. Lineage: Eukaryota; Metazoa; Mollusca; Gastropoda; Planorbidae. The transcript has 3 exons. The record is from RefSeq and is a predicted model, not a curated record.
ACUAUAUAUAUAUAAUAGAACACUAAACACUAUUUAUGUAAAUGCCCAUUUUUAAGUUUGUAAAAUAAUAAUUUGUUUUUAUAAAAAAUCUGGCUAUGCCUAUAGUACUCUUAACAAAAUUAUGACUAAAAAUAUUAUGAACGUCGAGUCUCUAGAUUCAUCAUCUUUGUGUGUCUGAUAAAUCCAGAGAAUGAAGAUAUAGAAUCUAUAUAGGCCCCCUAUUAUAUAGAAUCUAGCUCUAGUUGACUCUAGACUAGAUCUAGGAUAAUUUCAAGUCUAGAUGUUCAGCUUCAUCUUACCUUGAUCUUGAUGAUUAAUUUUAAUCUGACUUCCUGACUUGUUAACUUAAACUUCGUCUUACUUAGCCCUUAGGCGCCUUAGCCUUAGCUUCUUCAUAUGUGAAUCAUGAAUGGAAGUGCUUGGCUCACAGUGUCACAGAUCGUUCUUUAAACUAUUUGAAGAUCUACUUUAUCUUUACUAACGACUCUAAUCUAUAUCUAGUUUAUAUCUAUAUUUUAUAUGAUAAUAAUAGACCUAGACUCUUAUACUUAUAAUAAAGACAAAGUUAUAAGAUCUAGAAUCUGUAUCUAGAUCUAUUCCCAUUUGUGAUUUAUACACUGAUUAUACACUACAGAUUUAAUGUUUCUGAUGAGCAAUACUACUAUCUACAGCCAUGCCCAUUAACAUAGACCCUACUCAUGUACUAGAUCUAGCUCUUUUGAUCACAACUCAUAUCUUGCCUAGAUAUAAACAACUGUACUAGAUUGGACUAGACAUUCUAAUCGGUUCUAUUUUCGUUUUUCAUUAUUCUCACAUAUUCUAGUAGGCAAUAGGUACCAAAUUGUGCUAUUUAUUCACUGUAGAUCUAGAUCUUAACUUUUCUCUUAACUACCAAAGAAGUACACAAAGAAUGUUGAAAGGUACCCAAAGGGCUCUAAUUGCUACCAUUCAAUGUGUGGAUUCAAGUAUUUACCCAGAUACUGCCACAAUAUGCUGUUAUUGUUUUCAAAGGAGUUUUCACACAGUGCCAGAAGCUGUAUAAAUACAUUUAACAAUGUAUAUUUCAAGAAGAAAUGAUGCUUUCUUAUUUCUAAGAGUUUAUCAAUAGGAUGAAUGCCACAAAACUCACUUGUUAUGCCAGAAACUCUUCCUACGAAACUUCCAUACUAGAAUUUGUCCAGUGCCUGUGAUCCUCUGAGUUGAAGGAGAAUGUGCUCCAUAAUACCUACUAGGAGCUUGCUGAUAGCUGGAAGUUCAUGAAUACUAUGUUGUCCUUGAUUUGAUGAUUCUGAAAACUACCAUUUCUGAAGACUUGAGCAUUAUUUCUAUAAUUUAAAAAAAUCUUUUCAGGAAAUAUUGUGUUUAUAAUAUUAAGAAAGUGAAGAUAAUAUUGUUCUUACUAAUAUUAUUGACUUAUUAAAAUAGAAAGCACAUCAUUACCAAUAUUCACUUGUCAAUAAAUGUUAGCAUUAUUCAAUUUUUAGUUACAUGUUCAAACUAUUAAAUUUUAUUAUUUAAAUUAUAGCAACUUUCUCUUUCAGUACAGCUUAAGAUACAUUCCUGUAAAAAGUCUACAAUAAUAAGUUAAUGUCGAUGUAGUAUUGUUCAGACACUUACAAGUUUAAUCAUCUAUACUUCACAAAAAAAAAGUGUUUGAAUGGUUUUCAUUUGUUUGUACAUCAAAUAUGUAUUAAUAUAAUUAUCAUUUUUAGAUGAAACAUUAAAUACUGAAGAUGACCAUUUCAAUUUCUGAUGUAGGCCUAUUCUCAUUUCAUGAAAUAAACAGAAUAUUAUCUGAAAUUUCA